RNAcentral lists this ribosomal RNA (484 nucleotides) under uncultured bacterium. RNAcentral's name for it is "partial 16S ribosomal RNA". It matches the Rfam family "Bacterial small subunit ribosomal RNA", at positions 30 to 507 of the family's 1533-position model. The record is from RNAcentral.
AUUGAACGCUGGCGGCAGGCCUAACACAUGCAAGUCGAGCGGAUGAAGGGAGCUUGCUCCUGGAUUCAGCGGCGGACGGGUGAGUAAUGCCUAGGAAUCUGCCUGGUAGUGUGGGAUAACGUCCGGAAACGGGCGCUAAUACCGCAUACGUCCUGAGGGAGAAAGUGGGGGAUCUUCGGACCUCACGCUAUCAGAUGAGCCUAGGUCGGAUUAGCUAGUUGGUGGGGUAAAGGCCUACCAAGGCGACGAUCCGUAACUGGUCUGAGAGGAUGAUCAGUCACACUGGAACUGAGACACGGUCCAGACUCCUACGGGAGGCAGCAGGGGGGAAUAUUGGACAAUGGGCGAAAGCCUGAUCCAGCCAUGCCGCGUGUGUGAAGAAGGUCUUCGGAUUGUAAAGCACUUUAAGUUGGGAGGAAGGGCAGUAAGUUAAUACCUUGCUGUUUUGACGUUACCAACAGAAUAAGCACCGGCUAACUUCGUG